Molecule: ribosomal RNA, 155 nt
Filed under: uncultured bacterium
Lineage: Bacteria
Description: partial 16S ribosomal RNA
Rfam family: Bacterial small subunit ribosomal RNA
Source: RNAcentral
UGGGGAAUAUUGCACAAAGGGCGCAAGCCUGAUGCAGCGACGCCGCGUGCGGGAUGGAGGCCUUCGGGUUGUAAACCGCUUUUGUUCAAGGGCAAGGCACGGUCUUUGGCCGUGUUGAGUGGAUUGUUCGAAUAAGCACCGGCUAACUACGUGCC